RNAcentral lists this ribosomal RNA (245 nucleotides) under uncultured Lactobacillus sp. Its description in RNAcentral is "partial 16S ribosomal RNA". It matches the Rfam family "Bacterial small subunit ribosomal RNA", at positions 116 to 355 of the family's 1533-position model. The record is from RNAcentral. Lineage: Bacteria; Bacillati; Bacillota; Bacilli; Lactobacillales; Lactobacillaceae.
CGUGGGUAACCUGCCCAAGAGAUCGGGAUAACACCUGGAAACAGAUGCUAAUACCGGAUAACAACAGAUGAUGCCUAUCAACUGUUUAAAAGAUGGUUCUGCUAUCACUCUUGGAUGGACCUGCGGUGCAUUAGCUAGUUGGUAGGGUAACGGCCUACCAAGGCGAUGAUGCAUAGCCGAGUUGAGAGACUGAUCGGCCACAUUGGGACUGAGACACGGCCCAAACUCCUCGGGAGGCAGCAGCC